RNAcentral lists this ribosomal RNA (593 nucleotides) under uncultured bacterium. Its description in RNAcentral is "bacterial SSU rRNA". It matches the Rfam family "Bacterial small subunit ribosomal RNA", at positions 897 to 1494 of the family's 1533-position model. The record is from RNAcentral.
AAACUUAAAGGAAUUGACGGGGANCNGCACAAGCGGUGGAUGAUGUGGUUUAAUUCGGUGCAACGNNNAAAACCUUACCCACCUUUGACAUGUAUGGAAUCCUGAAGAGAUUUGGGAGUGCUCGAAAGAGAGCCACNNNNNNGGUGCUGCAUGGCUGUCGUCAGCUCGUGUCGUGAGAUGUUGGGUUAAGUCCCGCAACGAGCGCAACCCUUGUCAUUAGUUGCUACGAAAGGGCACUCUAAUGAGACUGCCGGUGACAAACCGGAGGAAGGUGGGGAUGACGUCAAGUCCUCAUGGCCCUUAUAGGUGGGGCUACACACGUCAUACAAUGGCUGGUACAGAGGGUUGCCAACCCGCGAGGGGGAGCUAAUCCCACAAAGCCAGUCGUAGUCCGGAUCGUAGUCUGCAACUCGACUACGUGAAGUCGGAAUCGCUAGUAAUCGCGGAUCAGAAUGUCGCGGUGAAUACGUUCCCGGGUCUUGUACACACCGCCCGUCACACCAUGGGAGCGGGUUCUGCCAGAAGUAGUUAGCCUAACCGCAAGGAGGGCGAUUACCACGGCAGGGUUCGUGACUGGGGUGAAGUCGUAACAA